GACGAACGCUGGCGGCGUGCCUAAUACAUGCAAGUAGAACGCUGUAGAGAGGAGCUUGCUCUUCUUGGAUGAGUUGCGAACGGGUGAGUAACGCGUAGGUAACCUGCCUUGUAGCGGGGGAUAACUAUUGGAAACGAUAGCUAAUACCGCAUAACAAUGGAUGACCCAUGUCAUUUAUUUGAAAGGGGCAAAUGCUCCACUACAAGAUGGACCUGCGUUGUAUUAGCUAGUAGGUGAGGUAACGGCUCACCUAGGCGACGAUACAUAGCCGACCUGAGAGGGUGAUCGGCCACACUGGGACUGAGACACGGCCCAGACUCCUACGGGAGGCAGCAGUAGGGAAUCUUCGGCAAUGGGGGCAACCCUGACCGAGCAACGCCGCGUGAGUGAAGAAGGUUGUCGGAUCGUAAAGCUCUGUUGUAAGUCAAGAACGAGUGUGAGAGUGGAAAGUUCACACUGUGACGGUAGCUUACCAGAAAGGGACGGCUAACUACGUG
Molecule: ribosomal RNA, 497 nt
Filed under: uncultured bacterium
Lineage: Bacteria
Description: partial 16S ribosomal RNA
Rfam family: Bacterial small subunit ribosomal RNA
Source: RNAcentral